UGCUUCACACAUGCAAGUCGAACGGGGUAGCAAUACCCAGUGGCGGACGGGUGAGUAACACGUGGGAAUCUACCAUUAGAUGGGGAAUAACAGGCCGAAAGGACUGCUAAUGCCGCAUAUGUAUGUACCUCGACAGGGGUGUAUAUGAAAGGAGUAAUCCGUCUGAUGAUGAGCCCGCGUCCGAUUAGCUAGUUGGUAGGGUAACGGCCUACCAAGGCGACGAUCGGUAGGUGGUCUGAGAGGAUGAUCACCCACAAUGGGACUGAGACACGGCCCAUACUCCUACGGGAGGCAGCAGUGGGGAAUUUUACGCAAUGGGGGAAACCCUGACGUAGCGACACCCGCGUGAGCGAAGAAGCCCUUUGGGGUGUAAAGCUCUGUCAACAGGAACGAAAAAAAUGACGGUACCUGUGGAGGAAGCAUCGGCUAACUACGUGCCAGCAGCCGCGGUAAGACGUAGGAUGCAAGCGUUGUCCGGAUUCAUUGGGCGUAAAGAGUUCGUAGGCGGUUUGUUAAGUCUGAUGUUAAAGACCGGGGCUCAACCUCGGAAAUGCAUUGGAUACUGGCAGACUGGAGUGCAGUAGAGGCUAGUGGAAUUCCCAGUGUAGCGGUGAAAUGCGUAGAUAUUGGGAAGAACACCGGUGGCGUAGGCGACUAGCUGGGCUGUAACUGACGCUGAGGAACGAAAGCCAGGGGAGCAAAUGGGAUUAGAUACCCCAGUAGUCCUGGCCGUAAACGAUGGAUACUAGGCGUAGUGGGUAUCGACCCCUGCUGUGCCGCAGCUAACGCGAUAAGUAUCCCGCCUGAGUAGUACGGCCGCAAGGUUGAAACUCAAAGGAAUUGACGGGGGCCCGCACAAGCGGUGGAACAUGUGGUUUAAUUCGAAGCAACUCGAAGAACCUUACCAGGGCUUGACAUCUGUGGAACCUUCCGGAAACGGAGGGGUGCUCGCAAGAGAGCCACAAGACAGGUGGUGCACGGCUGUCGUCAGCUCGUGUCGUGAGAUGUUGGGUUAAGUCCCGCAACGAGCGCAACCCCCGUUGUUAGUUGCCAUCAGGUAAAGCUGGGCACUCUAGCGAGACUGCCGGUGACAAACCGGAGGAAGGUGGGGACGACGUCAAGUCAUCAUGCCCUUCAUGCCCUGGGCUACACACGUGUUACAAUGGCUGGGACAAUGUGAUGCAAUACCGCGAGGUUGAGCGAAUCACCAAACCCAGUCUCAGUCCGGAUCGCAGGCUGCAACUCGCCUGCGUGAACUCGGAAUCGCUAGUAAACGCCCGAUCAGCACGCGGCGUCCAAUACGUUCCCCGGGCCUUNGUACCCACCGCCCCGUCACGUCAUGGGAGUUGGUCACGCCCCAAGUCGGUGGUGCCAACCCGAAAGGAANCCNCCGCCUAA
RNAcentral lists this ribosomal RNA (1398 nucleotides) under uncultured bacterium. RNAcentral's name for it is "16S ribosomal RNA". It matches the Rfam family "Bacterial small subunit ribosomal RNA". The record is from RNAcentral.